RNAcentral lists this ribosomal RNA (660 nucleotides) under uncultured Methanosaeta sp. RNAcentral's name for it is "bacterial SSU rRNA". It matches the Rfam family "Archaeal small subunit ribosomal RNA", at positions 219 to 879 of the family's 1478-position model. Lineage: Archaea; Methanobacteriati; Methanobacteriota; Methanomicrobia; Methanotrichales; Methanotrichaceae. The record is from RNAcentral.
GGCCUAUCAGGUAGUAGUGGGUGUAGCGUACCUACUAGCCUACGACGGGUACGGGUUGUGAGAGCAAGAGCCCGGAGAUGGAUUCUGAGACACGAAUCCAGGCCCUACGGGGUGCAGCAGGCGCGAAAACUUUACAAUGCUGGAAACAGCGAUAAGGGGACCUCGAGUGCCAGGUUACAAAUCUGGCUGUCGUGAUGCCUAAAAAGCAUUGCAUAGCAAGGGCCGGGCAAGACCGGUGCCAGCCGCCGCGGUAACACCGGCGGCUCGAGUGGUAACCGUUAUUAUUGGGUCUAAAGGGUCUGUAGCCGGCCGGAUAAGUCUCUUGGGAAAUCUGGCAGCUUAACUGUCAGGCUUUCAGGAGAUACUGUCUGGCUCGAGGCCGGGAGAGGUGAGAGGUACUUCAGGGGUAGGGGUGAAAUCUUGUAAUCCUUGAAGGACCACCAGUGGCGAAGGCGUCUCACCAGAACGGACCUGACGGCAAGGGACGAAAGCUAGGGGCACGAACCGGAUUAGAUACCCGGGUAGUCCUAGCCGUAAACGAUACUCGCUAGGUGUCGGCAACGGUGCGACCGUUGUCGGUGCCGUAGGGAAGCCGUGAAGCGAGCCACCUGGGAAGUACGGCCGCAAGGCUGAAACUUAAAGGAAUUGGCGGGGGAGCAC